UUGCCAGACUCCUACGGGAGGCAGCAGUGGGGAAUAUUGGGCAAUGGGCGCAAGCCUGACCCAGCAACGCCGCGUGAAGGAAGAAGGCUUUCGGGUUGUAAACUUCUUUUCUCAGGGACGAAGCAAGUGACGGUACCUGAGGAAUAAGCCACGGCUAACUACGUGCCAGCAGCCGCGGUAAUACGUAGGUGGCAAGCGUUAUCCGGAUUUACUGGGUGUAAAGGGCGUGCAGCCGGGCCGACAAGUCAGAUGUGAAAUCCGCGGGCUUAACCCGCGAACUGCAUUUGAAACUAUUGGUCUUGAGUACCGGAGAGGUCAUCGGAAUUCCUUGUGUAGCGGUGAAAUGCGUAGAUAUAAGGAAGAACACCAGUGGCGAAGGCGGAUGACUGGACGGCAACUGACGGUGAGGCGCGAAAGCGUGGGGAGCAAACAGGAUUAGAUACCCUAGUA
RNAcentral lists this ribosomal RNA (450 nucleotides) under uncultured bacterium. RNAcentral's name for it is "bacterial SSU rRNA". It matches the Rfam family "Bacterial small subunit ribosomal RNA", at positions 328 to 792 of the family's 1533-position model. The record is from RNAcentral.